GCACAAGCGGUGGAGCAUGUGGUUUAAUCGAAGCAACGCGAAGAACCUUACCAGGUCUUGACAUCCCGAUGCUAUUUCUAGAGAUAGAAAGUUACUUCGGUACAUCGGUGACAGGUGGUGCAUGGUUGUCGUCAGCUCGUGUCGUGAGAUGUUGGGUUAAGUCCCGCAACGAGCGCAACCCUCGCCUCUAGUUGCCAGCAUUCGGUUGGGCACUCUAGAGGGACUGCCGGCGACAAGUCGGAGGAAGGUGGGGAUGACGUCAAAUCAUCAUGCCCCUUAUGACCUGGGCUACACACGUGCUACAAUGGGCGGUACAAAGGGCUGCGAACCCGCGAGGGGGAGCGAAUCCCAAAAAGCCGCUCUCAGUUCGGAUUGCAGGCUGCAACUCGCCUGCAUGAAGCCGGAAUCGCUAGUAAUCGCGGAUCGGCAUGCCGCGGUGAAUACGUUCCCGGGCCUU
RNAcentral lists this ribosomal RNA (457 nucleotides) under uncultured Geobacillus sp. Its description in RNAcentral is "bacterial SSU rRNA". It matches the Rfam family "Bacterial small subunit ribosomal RNA", at positions 923 to 1382 of the family's 1533-position model. Lineage: Bacteria; Bacillati; Bacillota; Bacilli; Caryophanales; Anoxybacillaceae. The record is from RNAcentral.